GCGAACUUGUGAGAGAUCACUUGGUGCCUUCGGGAGCGCAGAGACAGGUGCUGCAUGGCUGUCGUCAGCUCGUGUUGUGAAAUGUUGGGUUAAGUCCCGUAACGAGCGCAACCCUUGUCCUUAUUUGCCAGCACGUAAUGGUGGGAACUCUAAGGAGACUGCCGGUGACAAACCGGAGGAAGGUGGGGACGACGUCAAGUCAUCAUGGCCCUUACGAGUAGGGCUACACACGUGCUACAAUGGCCGGUACAAAGGGCAGCGAGCUCGCGAGAGUCAGCGAAUCCCUUAAAGCCGGUCUCAGUCCGGAUCGGAGUCUGCAACUCGACUCCGUGAAGUCGGAAUCGCUAGUAAUCGUGCAUCAGAAUGGCACGGUGAAUACGUUCCCGGGCCUUGUACACACCGCCCGUCACACCAUGGGAGUGGACUGCACCAGAAGUGGUUAGCCUAACGCAAGAGGGCGAUCACCACGGUGUGGUUCAUGACUGGGGGAAAGUCGUAACAAGGUAACC
RNAcentral lists this ribosomal RNA (509 nucleotides) under uncultured bacterium. RNAcentral describes it as "bacterial SSU rRNA". It matches the Rfam family "Bacterial small subunit ribosomal RNA", at positions 991 to 1501 of the family's 1533-position model. The record is from RNAcentral.